Long non-coding RNA from Haliotis rubra (blacklip abalone), 141 nucleotides. RefSeq lists it as uncharacterized. NCBI's taxonomy places the organism in Eukaryota, Metazoa, Mollusca, Gastropoda, Lepetellida, Haliotidae. The record is from RefSeq and is a predicted model, not a curated record. The transcript has 3 exons.
ACAGUUAUUUGUAAUUAAAGCCUUCUGAAGAGUAGGGGAUAAUAAAAACAUUAACACACUCGCGUAGAUGUCAUAAUGUAUUUACAACACUCGUGCCGGAAAAAUGAUAUUUCCCGAGCGAAAACUGUUCAAUAUCACAUC